AGUCAUAUGCUUGUCUCAAAGAUUAAGCCAUGCAUGUCUAAGUAUAAGCAAUCAUACUGUGAAACUGCGAAUGGCUCAUUAAAUCAGUUAUCGUUUAUUUGAUAGUACCUUUACCUGGAUAACCGUGGUAAUUCUAGAGCUAAUACAUGCUAAAAACCCCGACUUCGGAAGGGGUGUAUUUAUUAGAUUAAAAACCAAUGCCCUCUGGGCUCUUUGGUGAUUCAUGAUAACUUCUCGAAUCGCACGGCCUUGCGCCGGCGAUGGUUCAUUCAAAUUUCUUCCCUAUCAACUUUCGAUGUUUGGGUAUUGGCCAAACAUGGUUGCAACGGGUAACGGAGGG
RNAcentral lists this ribosomal RNA (340 nucleotides) under uncultured eukaryote. RNAcentral describes it as "SSU rRNA". It matches the Rfam family "Eukaryotic small subunit ribosomal RNA", at positions 22 to 369 of the family's 1831-position model. The record is from RNAcentral.